UGACCUGCCCACUGAAGUAAUUUGAAUGGCCGCGGUAUAUUGACCGUGCAAAGGUAGCAUAAUCACUAGUUUUUUAAUUGGAAGCUUGAAUGAAAGGUUUGAUGAAAGAAUAACUGUCUCUGGAGAAGUUUAUUAGAAUUUUAUUUUUAAGUAAAAAAGCUUAAAUUUUUGUUGAAGACGAGAAGACCCUAUAGAGUUUAAUAAAUAGAUUAAGGUUUAAAGAUUAGGGAUUGAAGUUUGGACUUGGUUAAUAUUUAUUUUGUUGGGGUGAUAGAAAAAUUAAUAAAACUUUUUUUUUAAUUCUAUAUUUAUUUAUAAGUAUAUGAUCCUUUUUAGAUUGAAAGAUUAAAUUACCUUAGGGAUAACAGCGUAAUUUUUCUUAGAGUUCUUAUCGAAAGAAAAGAUUGCGACCUCGAUGUUGGAUUAAAAUUAAUUGUUGGUGAAGGGGCUAAUAARAUAGGUCUGUUCGACCUUUAAAAUUUUACAUGAUCUGAGUUUAAACCGGUGUGAGCCAGG
Molecule: ribosomal RNA, 516 nt
Filed under: Trigonopterus volcanorum
Lineage: Eukaryota; Metazoa; Arthropoda; Insecta; Coleoptera; Curculionidae
Description: partial large subunit ribosomal RNA
Source: RNAcentral